UUCGCAAUGCCCGAAAGGGUGAACGAGCGACGCCGCGUGCGGGAUGAAGGCCUUCGGGUUGUAAACUCCUGUCAUUCGGGAACAAUACCCUGGUCGGGAAUAUCGGCUGGGAUUGCUAGUACCGGAAGAGGAAGCCACGGCUAACUCUGUGCCAGCAGCCGCGGUAAUACAGAGGUGGCGAGCGUUGUUCGGACUUACUGGGCGUAAAGGGUGCGUAGGCGGCACUGCGUGUCGGACGUGAAAGCCCACUGCCUAACGGUGGAACGUCGUUCGAAACUGCAGGGCUAGAGUUCAGGAGAGGAGAGCGGAAUUCUCGGUGUAGCGGUGGAAUGCGUUGAUAUCGGGAGGAACUCCGGCGGCGAAAGCGGUGCACUGGUUGAUUUCUGACGCUGAGGUGCGAAAGCCAGGGGAGCAAACGGGAUUAGAUACCCCGGUAGUCCUGGCCGUAAACGAUGGGCACUAAGUAGAGGGGUUUU
Molecule: ribosomal RNA, 476 nt
Filed under: uncultured anaerobic ammonium-oxidizing bacterium
Lineage: Bacteria
Description: bacterial SSU rRNA
Rfam family: Bacterial small subunit ribosomal RNA
Source: RNAcentral